AAGUCGUAACAAGGUUUCCGUAGGUGAACCUGCGGAAGGAUCAUCAACAAUAUAGACCGGAAUUGAACCGGUCUGAACCAAAUAUAAAAUACUCGAGUUGGAUGAAUUAUCCGCUUGAUAAUUAGACCGAUUCAUCGAAAUGAUGAAUAUGGUGUAUGAACGAUAAAAACUGAAUUUGUAAUUGAAAUUGGUCUAGAUGACUGAUGAACAGGAGAACAGACCGGGUUUUGGUGUGAUGCCACCGGUGUAAAAAUGGUUAAAACUUUCGGCAAUGGAUCUCUCGGCUCUCC
RNAcentral lists this unclassified non-coding RNA (290 nucleotides) under fungal sp. RNAcentral describes it as "partial internal transcribed spacer region". The stretch from base 1 to 46 matches the Rfam family "Eukaryotic small subunit ribosomal RNA", at positions 1786 to 1831 of the family's 1831-position model. The record is from RNAcentral. Lineage: Eukaryota; Fungi.